Molecule: ribosomal RNA, 465 nt
Filed under: Vreelandella stevensii
Lineage: Bacteria; Pseudomonadati; Pseudomonadota; Gammaproteobacteria; Oceanospirillales; Halomonadaceae
Description: partial 16S ribosomal RNA
Rfam family: Bacterial small subunit ribosomal RNA
Source: RNAcentral
CCUACGGGGGGCAGCAGUGGGGAAUAUUGGACAAUGGGGGCAACCCUGAUCCAGCCAUGCCGCGUGUGUGAAGAAGGCCCUCGGGUUGUAAAGCACUUUCAGUGAGGAAGAACGCCUGGUGGUUAAUACCCAUCAGGAAAGACAUCACUCACAGAAGAAGCACCGGCUAACUCCGUGCCAGCAGCCGCGGUAAUACGGAGGGUGCGAGCGUUAAUCGGAAUUACUGGGCGUAAAGCGCGCGUAGGUGGCGUGAUAAGCCGGUUGUGAAAGCCCCGGGCUCAACCUGGGAACGGCAUCCGGAACUGUCAAGCUAGAGUGCAGGAGAGGAAGGUAGAAUUCCCGGUGUAGCGGUGAAAUGCGUAGAGAUCGGGAGGAAUACCAGUGGCGAAGGCGGCCUUCUGGACUGAAACUGACACUGAGGUGCGAAAGCGUGGGUAGCAAACAGGAUUAGAUACCCCAGUAGUC